UCUCGGCGCGGGAUGCGCCAAGGACUACUGAAACGGAUUGCCCGGGCGCCGGCUCACGCCGGUCGCGCGCGGCGUCUGGUCGUUCUAACCGAAACGACUCUCGGCAACGGAUAUCUAGGCUCUCGCAUCGAUGAAGAACGUAGCGAAAUGCGAUACUUGGUGUGAAUUGCAGAAUCCCGUGAACCAUCGAGUUUUUGAACGCAAGUUGCGCCCGAAGCCAACAGGCCGAGGGCACGUCUGCUUGGGCGUCACGCAUCGCGUCGCCACCCCCCCCACCCGCGCGCUCCGUCGCGUUCUCGGGCGGGGGUGACGGAUGUUGGCCUCCCGUGCCCCUCGCGGCGCGGCCGGCCUAAAUGUGAGCCCCCGGCGCGGGACGUCGCGGCAAGUGGUGGUUGAACUGCUCAAUCGUGCGCUGCCGGGACGACCCUCGACGGGUGGGAAACGACCCCGGAGCCCGUCAAGGGCCCCAGACCGCGACCCCAGGUCAGGCGGGAUUAC
RNAcentral lists this ribosomal RNA (498 nucleotides) under Pagamea guianensis var. macrocarpa. Its description in RNAcentral is "eukaryotic LSU rRNA". The stretch from base 96 to 251 matches the Rfam family "5.8S ribosomal RNA". The record is from RNAcentral. Lineage: Eukaryota; Viridiplantae; Streptophyta; Magnoliopsida; Gentianales; Rubiaceae.